Molecule: ribosomal RNA, 433 nt
Filed under: uncultured bacterium
Lineage: Bacteria
Description: partial 16S ribosomal RNA
Rfam family: Bacterial small subunit ribosomal RNA
Source: RNAcentral
GACGAACGCUGGCGGCAUGCCUAACACAUGCAAGUCGAACGAGCCCUUCGGGUCUUUUCUCGCCCGGGUUCGUCACCCGUGGGAACCUUCCCUUAGGUUCGGCCUACCUCCCCGACUGGGGUACUUAUACCGGAUCAUGUCUUCUGACCAAACAUUUAUUGAGUUAGUAUGUUCCCGCGUUGAAUUAGCUUGUUGUUAGGGUAAAAGCCUACCACGGCGAGCAUCCAUAGCUGGUCUGAGAGGAUGAUCAGCCACACUGGGACUGAGACACGGCCGAGACUCUUACGGGAGGCAGGAGAGGGGGAUAGAGGAAAAUGGGGGAAAGGAUGAUCGAGCAAGGACGGGUGAGCGAUGAAGGCAGUAGGGUUGUAAAGUGCUUGUAACCGGGAUGAUAAUGACAGUACCGGGAGAAUAAGCUCCGGCUAACUACGUG